RNAcentral lists this ribosomal RNA (949 nucleotides) under uncultured bacterium. RNAcentral's name for it is "bacterial SSU rRNA". It matches the Rfam family "Bacterial small subunit ribosomal RNA", at positions 522 to 1478 of the family's 1533-position model. The record is from RNAcentral.
AAUACAGAGGAUGCAAGUGUUAUUCGGAUUGAUUGGGCGUAAAGCGUCUGUAGGCGGUUUAGAAAGUCUCUUGUGAAAUUCUUCAGCUCAACUGAGGGUCCGCAAAAGAAACUUCUAGGCUUGAGGGAAGUAGAGGUAUAGGGAAUUUCCGGUGGAGCGGUGAAAUGCGUAGAUAUCGGAAGGAACACCAAUAUGGCGAAGGCACUGUACUGGGCUUUUCCUGACGCUAAGAGACGAAAGCUAAAGGAGUGAUUAGGAUUAGAUACCCUAGUAAUUUUAGCCGUAAACGAUGGAAACUCACUGCCGAGCCGGUAUUCGGAGCGGUGGUCAAGCUAACGCGUGAAGUUUCCCGCCUGGGGAUUACGCAUGCAAAUGUGAAACUCAAAGGAAUUGACGGGGACCCGCACAAGCGGUGGAGUAUGUGGUUUAAUUCGAUGCAACGCGAAAAACCUUACCAAGGUUUGAAAUCAUUUCAAAACUCUUUGAAAGAAGAGCCUCCUUCGGGAUGAAAUGACAGGUGGUGCAUGGCUGUCGUCAGCUCGUGUUGUGAAAUGUCAAGUUAAGUCUUGUAACGAGCGCAACCCAUGUCUUUUGUUGCUGUUUUCAGUGCUUAAAAGAGACUGCCGCUCUACAGCGGAGGAAGGUGUGGAUGAUGUCAAGUCAGCAUGCCCCUUAUAUCUUGGGCUACACACGUACUACAAUGGUAGGGACAAUGAGUCGCAAACCUGCGAAGGCUAGCCAAUCUCAAAAACCCUAUCUCAGUUCGGAUUGUACUCUGCAACUCGAGUGCAUGAAGGUGGAAUCGCUAGUAAUCGCUGGUCAGCAUACAGCGGUGAAUACGUUCCCGGGUCUUGUACACACUGCCCGUCACACCAUGGAAGUCGACUCUUCCCUAAGUCGUUACUCGAACCGUAAGGACGAGGAUGCCGAAGGCAGGGUUGGUGACUGG